Metopolophium dirhodum (rose-grain aphid) is the source of this 987-nucleotide long non-coding RNA. RefSeq lists it as uncharacterized. Lineage: Eukaryota; Metazoa; Arthropoda; Insecta; Hemiptera; Aphididae. The transcript is spliced from 3 exons. The record is from RefSeq and is a predicted model, not a curated record.
AAUAAAUAAUUAAAAUCAAGGAAUGGAUUUUGACACACAUGAAUUGUGUAGCAAUAAUUCGAUGUUUUUUGAUAAUUUUUACCCCGGACGCUGACGCUAUUGUGAAUAAUAAAUAUUCAUAUACCUACUAAGUGGUUUCUAAAGUUUCUAGUAUUGCUAAACCAAAUUUCCACUUGCAUUUCAUGGUUUACAAAUUACAAUUUAAUGAACAAACAAUAAUAAUUCAUUAUACUUUAUCAAUAACUAGUUGAUCCUGUGCACUUCGUUUCCCGUUAAAAAUCACAACUCUAUAUGAUUCAAAGUUUGUUCAAUUCGUUGUUUAAUAUUCGGUAUAUGGUGUUCAAAACUUUAAUUUUUUCAUCGAUCAUCUUGAAUCACAAAAUACUUAUGCAAGCACCUCUUUAAAAUGCGAAUUUUGGAAAGAUGCUUUCUUAGUCCACGCCUAUACAUGAUAGUAAGAAAGUACGGUGAAAAUUGCAUGCCUCAAGCUAUAAUUGCUUAGAUUUACGUUGAUCAGUCAGUGAGUCAGUCAGUCAACACGUUCAAUUAUAUUAUAUUAUAGCCAUGGCAGCCAUCCCGCCCGGCGUUGCCCGUGAGACUCGAUUGUGAUUAACGAGCAGUAUAUUAAGCUAUAGAUUGCGGUGGACUGCGAUGGAUUGCGGACUCCAAAUGUUCCCGGGACAACGGUCGAAAAAUUAGCGUUAGGAAUACCAUUUAUACUACGUUAAAUGGUUUUGACCAAAUACAAUAUUAUACAGCUCGUGCCACUGUUGUAUUUUUGUCAUCCAGAUUUCCUUCCAUGGAUAUAGAUACUAUGGUUGCAUGACGGCCCAUAUUGGAUCACAGAGCUGAGCGGUGCCGAAUGUUCUUAUCAAUUCUGACAAAAAGUACGAAUGGAUCAUAGCAGGAAAAAUGUCUCACUGUCCAUGACGUCAUUACGCCGUAUUGCCGUUUAUCAUUGUUAAUAACAGUAGACAAGCAUAUUAU